This 5522-nucleotide unclassified non-coding RNA is filed under the name Limulus polyphemus (Atlantic horseshoe crab). RNAcentral's name for it is "uncharacterized LOC111086416, transcript variant X1". The record is from RNAcentral. Lineage: Eukaryota; Metazoa; Arthropoda; Merostomata; Xiphosura; Limulidae.
UAGUGUGUAUAUUUCUAUGCUAUCUGUUUAAUCCUUGAUAGGGAACUAAAUUAAAUCUCUGCUAAUUUAGUGUACGAAAAUCGAGUUAAUGCUCGACGUCAUUUUGUGUCUUAACUUCUGAGGAAUAAGCAUAUUCAUAGAAUGAAGACUGCUGAAUUUGGGAUUUCCCUCAUUGUUAGUGAAAGUUUCUGUGAAACAGGGCAAGUGAGCCAGUGAGAGACCGGUUUGACGUGGUUUAAGGAUCGCCCUGGAUAUAAUAACACAAUACAAAACAAAGGGGCAUAAAAAAAUAGAUAGGUUCAUGUAAGAGGCAGAACUUGAUGACGAGACUUCAUAAGGAAGGUAUUAUGCUGUCAUCCAUUGAUCAAAAAGAUGACCAACCCAAAUGGGUUGAGGAACUUUUGAAGAGGAAGCGGACUUUCUACAGGCCAGUGAUUUCGGACCCUGCUAUCGAGAAACGUUAUGUUGUAACAACUACCGAACCAUGGAAGUCUUCUCACCCCCAGGCUAAGGCAGACUUUCACAGCACGCGUAAGCAAAGUGCGGGUGGGCGGUCUUUUCAGCCACCAGUAUCGCAACCGCUACUAUCUAGCACGACUUCUCGACCUUAUAUUGGGCCUAGUGGUCAAACAAGGACCAGUGCAGGAGAAACCAGUUUAUCUGUCGCUAUCAAACUUUCAGAGCCGUCAGUUAGAAACGUAAAGCAAAUGCAUGUCGAGAAUCGAAGUAACGUAAUGAAGGUACCAAACACAGCUAGAAUUAAUUCGGAUUCCUGUAUCCGAGAAAAUUACAUUAAGGGUCACAAAGAAAUUUGUAAAAGUAAGAAACUAAGCGACAGAGACAACUCGCAUGAUCGAUCCCACGUGUUAUCUCCGCCAUCUAGCACUGUUAGUUUAACCUCCUCUUCGCAUUUUAUGGAAAAAGAUGAGAAGGAACUUGAGUGGGGACCUGGAAUAGUGAAUAAGCUUAAAUCCAAGUUCGUUGGUGAAAUAGAGUAUAAUAGCGCUCAAGAAAACGCUGGGAAUAGGAAAUUAAUGGCUGGCGUAGAAACAACUGAAAAUCUAAGACAAUCAAUCCAAGUGACUACUAACACGACCACAUCAGAAGAGGCAUAUUUUGCAGAUAAUAAAUCUGAAAAAAACUCAUUUAAACCCGAUAAUUUUAGAAUUUCCAGAAGUAGAGAUAAUAUGCUCAGUGAGUCAGCUAAGCUUCUACAGCAUAGCCACAAGUUCAAGCAAACAAAUCACAGAAGACCACCACCCGUUAAAAAUCUUUCUUCUUCCCUUCGUGAUCAAGUAUCCAGUUCAGUGCUCAUUAACGAAAGCGUAGUAAUCGUAGAACAUUCUGCGAAAACUCGAAGAUCUGGUCAGUGCUCACCGAGUGCUAGUAUUCAGGAAGAAAAUAGAAAUAAGUCUACUUUUAAUUUAAAUGACGAUGACUUUCGUAAACGUGAUACUGUCAGUACCUAUAAACGAAUUUUUGAAUUACCAAAUAAUAAUAUUAAUUCUCAUCAACAGAUGAAACUCAAAAGACCACCAAUGGUGAAUAGUCGAUUGGAAAACAUAACCUCUCGACGCCCAGUAACGUUGAUUGUUACACCUCCAACCCACUCACAAAAAGAGUUACUUGACAAAUCGGUCACCAAACGAACCAAUGACAGAUAUAAUCAGAAAAGUGGGCUAUUCAAGUUGGAGACAUACAAAAAUGACGUAAAAGUAAGUUUCAAACCCCAAAAUACUUUCAAAAGGAGUCCUUCAGUUACUUGUGACGAGGGAGAAACAAAAACCAGUGAAACUAAAGAAAAUAGCAAAGAUAUUUCGCCAGGACACUGCAGAGCAAGUCGAGAACUUGAAAAUGGUGUGAGGUUUAUUUCCAGUGAAGCUUUGGAAAGAAUUCGAUCUCAGGGAUCGACCAUGGUGUUUGGAGGAAAGAGUGCUCCGUUAGUAAAACCGAGGUCUAAGCACGUGCCUAGUCAAAGAUCCGUAACACGAACAAAAAAAACCAAGGCGCCUCCUGUUCCUAAACGAGAACUAUCGUCAAAUUUACAAAUCCCAGUAUGCAGUUCAAUAACCAAAAAUACAGACAUUGCACUAGUAGCAACGGUCUCUCCAUCACCAAAGUAUCAGCCCAAAGAGCCUUUGAAACCUCGUGAAAAUCAACCACCAGCUGUUGAUCCUAUCUUAAGAUAUGAAAAUAAGCAUAAGCCCGUUAUUCAUAAAACUAGUGAAGCCGAAAAGUUUCCAGAAGCUGUGAAAGAGUACUGUUCAACAUUAUACUCUACCAAAACACCCGAUGUUUCACGAAAUCAACAAGAAGAAAAAUUCGUUGGAGAAGAAGGUGACGUCGAAGAAGUUCUUCGACCAAGUACACUACUUGGUAAUAAGGCUUCUUUAUGGAAAAAUCCUCCUCCUAACAAUACAAUAGUUUUUGAUUUUCGAGGGAAGAAUGUACAGGCAAACUUAGCUCUGAAACCUCAAUUUUGUGGCAAAUCUUCUGACCCUGUUUUUCAGAAGAAGGCACUAACAGGUAGUGAUUUGUAUAAUGGUAUAGUGUUUGACGGUAAUUUUGGCGAGAGUCAAGACUACGAAGACGAGGAAUCCAGCUACAGAGAAGUAGAUGUUCGUCAAAACUUCCCACCGGUUUCAGGACUUGCAUUUAUUGGUGAGAACACAAAAGUAGGAAAAAGUGCCUUUCUUACGACUAGGAAUAAGAAGCUGAGAAUCCAGUUUGACGAGGAGCCUACAACAUUCGUUUAUCCUGCUGGAACAUCGCACAUACAAAACGACCUUGAAGGUUCUCCAGACUCUAAUCUCUUGAACAGAGAUGCAACAACUCAAAUUUCAACUGAAAUCAGUGGUGUAACGGACACCUUCAGCAGCUACACACCGAGCAUGCUCAGUACCGGCAAUAAAUUUCAACUGGGACUUAGCCGCCCCAUUCACCGACGGCCACCCUCUUUACAUUCUAAUGGACCAACUAGUCCCUUGAAAAACGUUCCGAAACCAGCUGAAACUGAUGAAAGUACGUCUUGGUCAACGUCUUCGUCGGAUCUUCUAUUCUAAGGUGAAUCUGUAAUGGCAGACUUACCCGGAGCAACUAUUCUACACACGUGACUGGUCAUUCCUAUCAAUCUCAUUCAAGCAUAAGGGAGGCUGUAACCUCGUGAUAUCACCUGACGUACCAUUAGAGGAAACUGUUGACCACCUUCAUGUAUAAGGUGCAGCUUUACAACUAUAUCACCCAUGGACAGACCAGGUGUUAUCUCUAAAGGAAUGACAAAGAUCAAAGGUCCUCGAAGCCCAUAACUUCCAUGCCAUUUUAAUACAAAAUUUAUAUACAACAGACAAUGUGAAAAGAUGGAAAUAAGACAAUAUUUUUCUAAUAUAAGAGAUUUUCUGAAGUGAUUCCAAACUUAAAGGGAGUAUUGGAGACGUCUAAUUGUGCAUGUUGUGGAAUACGAACUUCAUCACAAUUAUUUAAAGCAGGGGUUCACAAAGGCCCCCACAAAACAUUUCUUAUACCGACUGAGCCCCACCCAACAAAUUUAUAGAUACUUAUUACCUAAAUAGUAUUGUGCAUCUUGUGUAUUUGCUACAGCUCCUGACACUUUCCUGCGACCCCUCUGGGGGUUUGCAGCCCCGAGUUUGAGAACCCUAAUUUAGAGCAUCAGAUGUGAUUUUAUAAACUCUAAUAUAUGUAUGAAAUUAGCAAACUGUAACAUUAUCUUGUAAAUGUACAGCUGUUGGAGAAAAGUAAACUCAGCUGUUAGAUCAUGGAUUUAGGUGAAUAGGAAAAAAUAAUUUAGUGUGAAAAAUAUUUUAACAGUUAAUUUAACAAAAUUUCAUUUAAUAAAUUGACAAAAUCGGUCCAAGAUAUAUAUAAAUAUAUGCUGCAAUAAAGGUGAUAUAAUUAAAGCUUACGAAUUUAAAGAUUCCAAUCAUUAUUUUGAAGAUAAAAUUUACUUUUUUUUUGUUCCGUCUUUAUUUUUACAGAUUAUCAUACCAGAAAAUGAUUUCGAUCAGUUCCGCAAUUCUAUAUACACAUCCACUAACUAGUCCUUAAUUUACGUAUUGAAAAGUAUUAGUAGCAAUCCGAGUUCUUCGCGAGUUUGCAUAAAAACGUCCAAAGUUAGGAAUGUGUGAACGAUGGUGUAAAAUCAUGUUGUGGUAUCUUGAGGUAAAAGCCAUUAAUUUAAUGUUUCACGUGAAAAUUGAUUUACAUGAACUGUCGUUUCCACUGAAUUGUUAGUGAGGAAAUUGUUUUUUAUUUAUUUAUGUUCAAAAGUUACUUGUAUACAUUACUCGAGUGUAUUUUGUAUGAUUAUAUUAUAUCAGAUGUUUUUAAGAUGAGAAAAAAAAUCUUGUAACACAAAAUUAGGUAAAUACGAAUUAGUCAAGAAAUCACAGUGAAAAUAUUAAACGAUGAUGUCAGAAUUAAUGAUGACUCAAAAUUAAGACUUUUUGAUUUUCUGAAUUUACUUCAGCACUAGAAAAGUGGUAAGCCAAGCCUGUUCCGCUAUUUGGCCGUUUAAGUCAUUAUCAAUUUUGUGAUUUAAUGCCCAAAUAUUUUUGUUUUGUUUCGUUUUCGUGUUUGGUUGCCCCUGGCGGGACGUGAAAAGUUUCAUUUCGUCAGUUUUUAUUGCUAGCUUUCUGAUCUUAGAAGCCUUCCAGUGGCUCAGAGGUAAGGCUGAUGGCUUAUAACACUAACAGCGGGUUUCAAUACCCGUGGUGGGCAGAGCACAGAUGGCCCAUUGUGUAGCUUUGCGCUUAGCAACAAACAAACAGAUCUUGAAACAGCUGGAAUAGAAAGUUUUCUAACGUAGUAAUAUUAUCGUAGUUUUAAAAACAAUUUUUAUGUAUGUUUGUUUGUUUGUAACUAUGCUCAAAGCUACACAAUGGACAAUUUGUGCUCUGCCCACUACGGGUAUCGAAACCCGGUUUCUAGCAUUUUAAGUCCGCAGCCAUACUCUGUGCCACUGGGGAGCCAAUUUUUAUGUAAGAAAUAAAAAGCUGGAUAAUAUCUGAAUACUAUGCUGUCAGUAACUUGCAGAAUACGAUUUUCCCGAUGAUCGAAAGGAUUGGUUACUGAUAAAAUGUAUGUAUGCAUGACGUGUGAAAUAAAAGCUUGAAAUACAACUGUUUAUAACACCAGUUACAAGUUUAUUGUUUUGACAAAAAGUGAAAAUUUGUUUGGAAUUAUGAACUAAAUGUAACCAGUAUUAAUCAGCUUGUAACAAUUUCCAUAAAUGCUAUACUACACAAAAGUUUUUGGUGACACUCAGUUCAUCCUUUCCAACAUCAGCUUGUUUUAAAGAAGUGUUUUUAGUUGAAUAUAUUUUAUUGUAUUAACGAAGCUCAAAUGCACAGUUGUUUCGAUUUUGAUUCAAUAAAUUGAACACAGAGGGAAAAGUUUCACAGGCUAUGAAAUGUUCAAGUAAAUAAUGUAAGAAGUAAAACAUUUGCAUGUCAUGAAAUUUUUCAAAUGUAAGAUCUAUUUGAUAAAGUAAUAAAAUAAAUAUCUGA